This 301-nucleotide ribosomal RNA is filed under the name uncultured bacterium. RNAcentral describes it as "partial 16S ribosomal RNA". It matches the Rfam family "Bacterial small subunit ribosomal RNA", at positions 509 to 807 of the family's 1533-position model. The record is from RNAcentral.
CAGUCGCCACGGUAAUACAGAGGGUGCGAGCGUUAAUCGGAUUUACUGGGCGUAAAGCGUGCGUAGGCGGCUUUUUAAGUCGGAUGUGAAAUCCCUGAGCUUAACUUAGGAAUUGCAUUCGAUACUGGGAAGCUAGAGUAUGGGAGAGGAUGGUAGAAUUCCAGGUGUAGCGGUGAAAUGCGUAGAGAUCUGGAGGAAUACCGAUGGCGAAGGCAGCCAUCUGGCCUAAUACUGACGCUGAGGUACGAAAGCAUGGGGAGCAAACAGGAUUAGAUACACCAGUAGUCCCUGUCUCUUAUAC